CGGAACAGAGCGGAGCGGUGGAGAAACAAAGGCGGAAAAAACGAGUGAAAAUACGGAUUAAAACCAGCGUCUGAGUCGUAGAUUAGUCGCUUCGUUUUCUUACACUGUGAGAAAUUUCAUUACCGAACAAGUCUGGACGCUAAAACAAGCUUUCUGAGGCUGGAUACUGAUCACUCCUGCGGCGAAGUUGUGAAAAAGCGGACGCGCUCGAAUCCGCUAUUUUCCUCCCCGGCCGGCUGUUGGUGUUGGUUUCCAUGGAGAUGCGCGUCCAUGAAUUCGGGGGCGGGGCUCCUGAAGCAGCGCUGCAAGGACAGGUCUUCGUGUUGAGCUGCUGCAGCCUGGACGGAAACACCAGCUCUCACCUCACAGACAAAAGAGGUGUCACCACUUCGUCCAUGACAUCACUGAGACAUCAUCUGUGAUCAGAGAGACAUCGUCCACGAUCAGAGACACUGUUCAUUAUCGCAGAGACAAUCAAAAGUCGCAGUGACGGAGUUUCCUGAUUUGAUGACUUCGUCCACGAUUGCAGAGACAUUGUCCUUAAUCACGGACACCAUCCACAAUCACAGAGAGUCUUCGUGCAAUGAAGAAGUUCUUUGAGACCAGGACAGAGGCCUCCAGACGUCUCAGCUGUUCUUCGCAUCCUGCAGAGUAACUAACUUUGCAAGAGAACAAAGGAACUGAUCUCCUCAACAACACUGAAGCCACACAGCCAGAACAACAGUUGAAUGGACCAGGACAGCAGCAACAGGACUUGACAAAGCAGCGCACCAAAAGGCAUUUUGUUUUUCCCAUGGACUAACACACCUGGACUUACUUUACCUUACCUUGUAUAUCACAAUCUGUCGAAGCAUAGGACGCAACUUUGUCAGUGUGUUGUUGUGUAUGUUUACAGUCAGGUUACUGAUUCAUGUUAGCGUGUUCAUACACUCAAACACUCCCUUGUUAAUCUCCCCCACACAUGAUGAAGUCGGUCCUGGAGGCCAUCUACUGAUUCGGCCAUCUUGUGGUUUAACACAAAGGAACAAUCUUAGAGCAGCCAUCUUACCUUUGUUUUCCACAAACACAUACACACAUUCACACACACACCUCUACACAGUGUUUGUAGGUUUGGUUAGAUUUUGUGUUUGUUUUUUCGUUUUGGUAUUUGUAUAUAUAUGUGUAAUAUACACAUAGAUUUGUAUUUGUUCAAAUAAAUUCUUGUGAUCACUGAA
Molecule: long non-coding RNA, 1214 nt
Organism: Lates calcarifer (barramundi perch)
Lineage: Eukaryota; Metazoa; Chordata; Actinopteri; Centropomidae
Exons: 5
Source: RefSeq, a predicted model, not a curated record